UCUCUGGUAGUUUAAUAAGAAUGUGGGAUUGCAAAUCCCGCGGUAAGACUUGUCUUGUGGGGAU
RNAcentral lists this transfer RNA (64 nucleotides) under Nototeredo knoxi. Its description in RNAcentral is "tRNA-Cys". Lineage: Eukaryota; Metazoa; Mollusca; Bivalvia; Myida; Teredinidae. The record is from RNAcentral.